This 572-nucleotide long non-coding RNA is filed under the name Equus asinus (donkey). RNAcentral describes it as "lncRNA (ENSEASG00005029045.1)". The record is from RNAcentral. Lineage: Eukaryota; Metazoa; Chordata; Mammalia; Perissodactyla; Equidae.
CAGGAACAAGCUGGACACAGGAGAUAGAUGGAGGCCUUCUCUCCAACUGUUGACACCAGCCAAACAGGAUAAAUAGUUCAUAUUGUAAUGAUGACAAUGAUAAUGAUGAAGAGAAAGCAUUGACCCAGAUGAAAAAAAGUUUUGAUUUUAAGCUCUGCUUAAGCCCUGAAGUCCUGCUGUCAGAGCCACUUACAUGAUCCGAGGGACUUUUGACUACAAAGACGGGAAUUUAAGGGAGCAACAUGAAGCCUUGACCCCUACUGCUUCACUCUCCACCAGAAUUGUCAUAACAUCAACAGAGUUCCUGCCAUUUGUGACCACCUUAUGACCAGGCAAUUCUACUUGCCUUAUCUCCUUGGCCAAAAGGCAAGUCUCCUGGCCAUUAGUCUACAGUGUUGACCACCCCUCCUCCUGGAAACACUGUCUUUUCUUGGCUUCAGUGACACAGGACUCUCAUGGUUUCCUCUGACAGCUAAUUUACUCUCUCUUUUGCAGCCUUAUCUAUUCUUCCCAGGUCAAUAAAUAUUGAAAUACCCAAGGCUCAAUCCUGGACACUCUUCUCUUCUUAUUCU